Molecule: non-coding RNA, 341 nt
Filed under: Shewanella benthica KT99
Lineage: Bacteria; Pseudomonadati; Pseudomonadota; Gammaproteobacteria; Alteromonadales; Shewanellaceae
Description: bacterial LSU rRNA
Rfam family: Bacterial large subunit ribosomal RNA
Source: RNAcentral
UAAGUGGUACGCGAGCUGGGUUCAGAACGUCGUGAGACAGUUCGGUCCCUAUCUGCCGUGGGCGUUGGAUGAUUGAAGGAAGCUGCUCCUAGUACGAGAGGACCGGAGUGGACGAACCGCUGGUGUUCGGGUUGUUAUGCCAAUAGCAUUGCCCGGUAGCUACGUUCGGAAUCGAUAACCGCUGAAAGCAUCUAAGCGGGAAGCGAGUCCUAAGAUGAGUCAUCCCUAGGGAUUUAAUUCCUCUAAAGAGCCGUUCGAGACUAGGACGUUGAUAGGCAGGGUGUGUAAGUGCUGUGAGGCAUUGAGCUAACCUGUACUAAUGACUCGUGAGGCUUAACCAU